Long non-coding RNA from Odocoileus virginianus texanus, 1611 nucleotides. RefSeq lists it as uncharacterized. Lineage: Eukaryota; Metazoa; Chordata; Mammalia; Artiodactyla; Cervidae. The record is from RefSeq and is a predicted model, not a curated record.
CCCUUGGUUACCGCUGGCCGGGAGAACACAGAAGGCAAAACAAACACUGGACUGGCUCCUCACUGCUGGGAACAAUUACAAGACCCAGAGACCCUCUUUCCACCCCGCACAGAGACCCCCGGCAGAGCAAGGCUGGAGUUUCAGAGGAAGUGGGGCACACAGUCCCAGGUGGGCCGAGUGCCACUUCAGUGCCCAAGGUGCUUCACAAACCUCAUCAGGAGGCAGCACUGGCGGGAAACAGAGUCGGACUUAAAAAAGGAAGAUCCAUUUAUGAAAGGCCAGGCCUCAAACGGUAAGAAGCUGGGCCAGGUUGCUAUCCAGGAAAUGACUCAUGUCUCCCUUGGUCCCUUGAGGCUGCUUGGGAACAGACACUGACGAGCACACACGGAGAUGCUUGAGAUUCUCAAGAGGAAGGCAGCCUCCGGUGACACCAGAAGCUGGGACACCUGGGGUGGCAGGUGCCCAGCCGGCCCCCAAGGGCGACUCAGUCCACACUCGCGGGUGAAGCACCAUUGAAACCAAAUCAGAAUGCCACAGAGCUGGGUGCCAGGGCUCUUCUCCUGCAGCCACCCACACUUCCUGUGACCUCGGUCACCCUCUGUGCACUCAGGCUGCAGAAACCAGCAAGCUGACUUCAGGCCCCAGACACUUCAGGGAACAUGCACUUAUUAGGGCCUCCUGAUCAAUACAUUGAACGGCCUGAAAAAGCAUCUACCUUCCAACUGCAUUUGAAAACCCUGACUGGGAAAAAAAAAAAAAAAAAGAAAACCCUGACUGUGACCUUGACCUUGAAAUAUUGGUUUCUGUGACAGUGUGCUCCCUGCUCUGCAAGGCUCCCACCCAGCUCCUUCGCCAGUUUUUCCUCCUUUCCUUAAUCACAGAUGUUGCUCUCUCCGUGGGCUCCUCUGCUCUCACGGUUCCAGGAAGCAUCUCCCCUUGAAAUUGACACAUCACCCUUAUGGUGACCACAUCAUUGAACUGCAUGACUCUUACGGCAACCCUGCCCUGCAUCCCACACAGCUCCCUGCCAGACUCAAACGUGGCCCCCUCCCAGCCUCUGCAUCUCUGCCAAGUUCUGUCCUCCUUCUCCUGGUCAGUCACCCAGAUUCAAACCCCUCAUCUUCCUGGAUUCCUCCUCUCCUUGGCCUUCCACAUUAUCAUCAAAUGGUAGAAAUCUCACCCCCCAGAGUUGCCCAAAUCUGUCCCCGACUCUCACAGUUCAAGUCAUCAUCACCUGCAAAGUUAGUGUAGGAGUCUCCAAAAUUGGUCUCCUUGCCCACAACACCUCUCUGACCCUGUCGGAUCUUCCUAAAACACUCUCAUUUAGAUAUUAGUCUUUUUUUUUUUUCAUUUUGAAAAUAUGUAACUCAAACAUGUACAAAAGAGACACAUAUUUUCAGCACCUAAAAUGAACCACUGUCAACAGCUUGUCACAUUUGCUUCUAGUCCUUUUACUGCAUAAUGGUCAAAUGGCCAGAGGACCUGAUGAAGCAACUCAGGAACAAAAAUUAAAUGCAAGUGAUAAGCUUAUACGAAAAAAACACCUGACCUGUCUGGUAAACAGGGAAACAAAAAAUAAAGUACUAAUGAGUGAUCCAUCACCUUGCACCC